GACGAACGCUGGCGGCGUGCUUAACACAUGCAAGUCGAACGGAAAGGCCCCUUUGGGGGUACUCGAGUGGCGAACGGGUGAGUAACACGGGAGUAACCUGCCCUUGACUUCGGGAUAACUUCAGGAAACUGGGGCUAAUACCGGAUAGGAAUCCUUGCUGCAUGGUGGGGGUUGGAAAGCUUCGGCGGUUUUGGGUGGACUCGCGGCUUAUCGGCGUGUUGGUGGGGUAGUGGCUUACCAAGGCUUUGACGGGUAGCCGGCCUGAGAGGGCGACCGGCCACAUUGGGUCUUAGAGACGGCCCAGACGCCUACGGUUGGCAGCAGUGGGGAAUAUUGCACCAUGGGCGGCAGCCUGAUGCAGCAACGCCGCGUGCGGGAUGACGGCCUUCGGGUUGUAAACCGCUUUCAGCAGGGGCGAAGCUUGUGGUGACGGUACCUGCAGAAGAAGCACCGGCUAACUACGUG
Molecule: ribosomal RNA, 465 nt
Filed under: uncultured bacterium
Lineage: Bacteria
Description: partial 16S ribosomal RNA
Rfam family: Bacterial small subunit ribosomal RNA
Source: RNAcentral